Gymnodraco acuticeps is the source of this 339-nucleotide long non-coding RNA. RefSeq lists it as uncharacterized. The transcript is spliced from 3 exons. The record is from RefSeq and is a predicted model, not a curated record. NCBI's taxonomy places the organism in Eukaryota, Metazoa, Chordata, Actinopteri, Perciformes, Bathydraconidae.
CUUUCUCCUCGACAGUGCUACAGGGCCAUCAAUACAACAUUAUAAGAACGAAGCUGCGGGCCGGAUCACAUCUGACGGCGGGCCAGGCAAAGGCCUUCCUUGGGAAAUGCUUCGUGCUUUUGUUUUGAAGUCCUAAAACCGGAAGUGGUCCCCUCUCGGAACCAUUUUGCGUCUCGUCGUCGCUUUGUGUUCCUGAGAAAGCGUGUGAGCUCCAGCUGAUCCAUGGAGCGCCCCCUGCUGUCCGUGGUGCUCCAGCCUCAGCUCCAGGUCCACAGAGCAGACGUCCAGCAGCUGGUGGUUAAAGAAGAGGUUUCCCCUGAGCAGCAGGAGUGGAGCUCC